GACGAACGCUGGCGGCGUGCUUAACACAUGCAAGUCGAACGGAAAGGCCCAGCUUGCUGGGUGCUCGAGUGGCGAACGGGUGAGUAACACGUGGGUGAUCUGCCCCUAACUUCGGGAUAAGCUUGGGAAACUGGGUCUAAUACCGGAUAGGACAAUCGUUUAGUGUCGGUUGUGGAAAGUUUUUUCGGUUAGGGAUGAGCCCGCGGCCUAUCAGCUUGUUGGUGGGGUAAUGGCCUACCAAGGCGUCGACGGGUAGCCGGCCUGAGAGGGUGGACGGCCACAUUGGGACUGAGAUACGGCCCAGACUCCUACGGGAGGCAGCAGUGGGGAAUAUUGCACAAUGGACGCAAGCCUGAUGCAGCGACGCCGCGUGGGGGAUGACGGCCUUCGGGUUGUAAACCUCUUUCGACAGGGACGAAGCUUUGGUGACGGUACCUGUAUAAGAAGCACCGGCUAACUACGUG
This 464-nucleotide ribosomal RNA is filed under the name uncultured bacterium. RNAcentral describes it as "partial 16S ribosomal RNA". It matches the Rfam family "Bacterial small subunit ribosomal RNA", at positions 28 to 507 of the family's 1533-position model. The record is from RNAcentral.